RNAcentral lists this ribosomal RNA (600 nucleotides) under uncultured Actinomycetes bacterium. RNAcentral describes it as "bacterial SSU rRNA". It matches the Rfam family "Bacterial small subunit ribosomal RNA", at positions 252 to 866 of the family's 1533-position model. Lineage: Bacteria; Bacillati; Actinomycetota; Actinomycetes. The record is from RNAcentral.
GAGAGGUAACGGCUCACCAAGGCAUCGACGGGUAGCUGGUCUGAGAGGAUGAUCAGCCACACUGGAACUGAGACACGGUCCAGACUCCUACGGGAGGCAGCAGUGGGGAAUCUUACACAAUGGGCGCAAGCCUGAUGCAGCGAUGCCGCGUGCGGGAAGAAGGCCUUAGGGUUGUAAACCGCUUUCAGGAGGGAAGAAAAUGACGGUACCUCCAGAAGAAGGUGCGGCCAACUACGUGCCAGCAGCCGCGGUGACACGUAGGCACCAAGCGUUAUCCGGAUUUAUUGGGCGUAAAGAGCUCGUAGGCGGUUUGGUAAGUCGGGUGUGAAAACUCUGGGCUCAACCCAGAGAGGCCACUCGAUACUGCUAUGACUAGAGUACGGUAGGGGAGCGGGGAAUUCCUGGUGUAGCGGUGAAAUGCGCAGAUAUCAGGAGGAACACCAGCGGCGAAGGCGCCGCUCUGGGCCGUAACUGACGCUGAGGAGCGAAAGCAUGGGUAGCAAACAGGAUUAGAUACCCUGGUAGUCCAUGCCGUAAACGUUGGGCACUAGGUGUGGGUCUCAACCAACGAGAUCCGCGCCGUCGCUAACGCAUUAAGUG